RNAcentral lists this ribosomal RNA (450 nucleotides) under uncultured bacterium. Its description in RNAcentral is "partial 16S ribosomal RNA". It matches the Rfam family "Bacterial small subunit ribosomal RNA", at positions 354 to 796 of the family's 1533-position model. The record is from RNAcentral.
GUGGGGAAUUUUGGACAAUGGGCGCAAGCCUGAUCCAGCAAUGCCGCGUGCAGGAAGAAGGCCUUCGGGUUGUAAACUGCUUUUGUACGGAACGAAAAGGCUCUGGUUAAUACCUGGGGCUCAUGACGGUACCGUAAGAAUAAGCACCGGCUAACUACGUGCCAGCAGCCGCGGUAAUACGUAGGGUGCAAGCGUUAAUCGGAAUUACUGGGCGUAAAGCGUGCGCAGGCGGUUUUGUAAGACAGGCGUGAAAUCCCCGGGCUCAACCUGGGAAUGGCGCUUGUGACUGCAAGGCUAGAGUGCGGCAGAGGGGGAUGGAAUUCCGCGUGUAGCAGUGAAAUGCGUAGAUAUGCGGAGGAACACCGAUGGCGAAGGCAAUCCCCUGGGCCUGCACUGACGCUCAUGCACGAAAGCGUGGGGAGCAAACAGGAUUAGAUACCCCUGUAGUCC